AAUUUGAUAAAUUAUGAUGUAAAUGUUAAUUUAGCAAAACAAAAUAAUUCAAUUCCAUUCCUAAAAUUUAUUUUUAGAUACCAAUCAUAGGAAUGGAAUCAAACAAGGAAUUACAAUUCCAUUCCUUUUGUAUUCCUUAUGCAUACCAAGCAAAGGAAUCACCAAGGUUUGUCAUUCCUUUCCUCCCUUCAUUCCAUUCCUACCUCCAUUCCAUUCCACCCUCAUUCCAUUCCAUCAUACCAAUCACCUCCUA
Molecule: long non-coding RNA, 253 nt
Filed under: Salvia miltiorrhiza (redroot sage)
Lineage: Eukaryota; Viridiplantae; Streptophyta; Magnoliopsida; Lamiales; Lamiaceae
Description: long non-coding RNA (SMIL_LNC001327)
Source: RNAcentral